This 92-nucleotide transfer RNA is filed under the name Verrucomicrobiota bacterium. RNAcentral's name for it is "Verrucomicrobia bacterium tRNA-Ser". It matches the Rfam family "tRNA". Rfam says of the family: Transfer RNA (tRNA) molecules are approximately 80 nucleotides in length. Their secondary structure includes four short double-helical elements and three loops (D, anti-codon, and T loops). Further hydrogen bonds mediate the characteristic L-shaped molecular structure. tRNAs have two regions of fundamental functional importance: the anti-codon, which is responsible for specific mRNA codon recognition, and the 3' end, to which the tRNAs corresponding amino acid is attached (by aminoacyl-tRNA synthetases). tRNAs cope with the degeneracy of the genetic code in two manners: having more than one tRNA (with a specific anti-codon) for a particular amino acid; and 'wobble' base-pairing, i.e. permitting non-standard base-pairing at the 3rd anti-codon position. The record is from RNAcentral. Lineage: Bacteria; Pseudomonadati; Verrucomicrobiota.
GGAGAGGUGCCAGAGUGGUUGAUUGGGCACGCCUGGAAAGCGUGUUUCCGCUUAACGGCGGAACGAGGGUUCGAAUCCCUCCCUCUCCGCCA